This 497-nucleotide ribosomal RNA is filed under the name uncultured bacterium. Its description in RNAcentral is "partial 16S ribosomal RNA". It matches the Rfam family "Bacterial small subunit ribosomal RNA", at positions 28 to 507 of the family's 1533-position model. The record is from RNAcentral.
GACGAACGCUGGCGGCGUGCCUAAUACAUGCAAGUCGAGCGAACAGAGGAGAAGUUUGUUCCUCGGAUGUUUGCCGAGGACGGGAGUGAAACGUGGGGAUAAUGCCUGUAAAAGACGGGGAAAACUUCGGGACACUGGCGAUAACACCAGAUAAUAUAAUGAACCAUAACAUUUACUAAAAAAAGGCAAUUGUGCUACUACCUAUUGGAGGUGCCUCGCAUCAUUAGCUUGGUGGUAAGGUAACGGCUUACCAAGGCAACGCUGCGUAGCCGACCUGGGAGGGUGAUCGGCCACACUGGAACGGGGACACGGUCCAGACUCCUACGGGAGGCAGCAGUAGGGAAUCUUCCGCAAUGGGCGAAAGCCUGACGGAGCAACGCCGCGUGAGUGAUGAAGGUCUUCGGAUCGUAAAACUCUGUUAUUAGGGAAGAACAAAUGUGUAAGUAACUAUGCACGUCUUGACGGUACCUAAUCAGAAAGCCACGGCUAACUACGUG